CAGAGGCGUGCGAGAGAGCGGCACACGCACACACGAAAGAGGCACACACAGGCGCUCCAGGCUCGCAAAAGGGAGACACACGCAUACACGAAAGAGAGCGCGAGCGAGAGAGGGAGGAGGGCUGGACGCAUAAGGAACGAGUAAGCUGGAUGCCAGGUGUCACCUUAAACCAGAAGGCGUUUGCACAGUUGGAUGCUGAUUACGAGUGCAGUAAAUCUGUCACAAAUACGAGGGGAGCAGAGGGUGGUCACAGUUGUUAGAGCUGCGGCCCCACAGACCCAGCAUGCUGGCGAUUGUUUGCCAUUGAAUAGCAUUGAUCGCCAUUGGGUUGUAUUGUAUCACAACUUUUUCAUCUCUUUUUAUCUAUAGUCGUGACCA
Long non-coding RNA from Polypterus senegalus (gray bichir), 378 nucleotides. RefSeq lists it as uncharacterized. The record is from RefSeq and is a predicted model, not a curated record. NCBI's taxonomy places the organism in Eukaryota, Metazoa, Chordata, Cladistia, Polypteriformes, Polypteridae. The transcript has 3 exons.